GAGUUUGAUCAUGGCUCAGAUUGAACGCUGGCGGCAGGCCUAACACAUGCAAGUCGAGCGAGAAAGCACCUCGGUGCGAGUAGAGCGGCGGACGGGUGAGUAAUGCUUGGGAAUCUGCCCAGUAGUGGGGGGUAACGUGUGGAAACGCACGCUAAUACCGCGUACGUCCUACGGGAGAAAGCAGGGGAUCAUUAGACCUUGCGCUAUUGGAUGAGCCCAAGUCAGAUUAGCUAGUUGGUGAGGUAAAGGCUCACCAAGGCGACGAUCUGUAGCUGGUCUGAGAGGAUGAUCAGCCACACUGGGACUGAGACACGGCCCAGACUCCUACGGGAGGCAGCAGUGGGGAAUAUUGCACAAUGGGCGAAAGCCUGAUGCAGCCGUGCCGCGUGUGUGAAGAAGGCUCUAGGGUUGUAAAGCACUUUCAGUAGGGAGGAAAAGCUUAAAGUUAAUACCUUUAGGCCGUGACGUUACCUACAGAAGAAGCACCGGCAAACUCCGUGCCAGCAGCCGCGGUAAUACGGAGGGUGCGAGCGUUAAUCGGAAUUACUGGGCGUAAAGCGCGCGUAGGUGGUUUAAUAAGCUAGCUGUGAAAGCCCCGGGCUUAACCUGGGAACUGCAGUUAGAACUGUUUGACUAGAGUAUAAUAGAGGGUGGCGGAAUUUCCUGUGUAGCGGUGAAAUGCGUAGAUAUAGGAAGGAACAUCAGUGGCGAAGGCGGCCACCUGGAUUAAUACUGACACUGAGGUGCGAAAGCGUGGGGUGCAAACAGGAUUAGAUACCCUGGUAGUCCACGCCGUAAACGAUGUCUACUAGCCGUUGGAAGACUUGAUCUUUUAGUGGCGCAGUUAACGCGAUAAGUAGACCGCCUGGGGAGUACGGCCGCAAGGUUAAAACUCAAAUGAAUUGACGGGGGCCCGCACAAGCGGUGGAGCAUGUGGUUUAAUUCGACGCAACGCGAAGAACCUUACCAGGUCUUGACAUCCUGCGAACUUUCUAGAGAUAGAUUGGUGCCUUCGGGAACGCAGUGACAGGUGCUGCAUGGCUGUCGUCAGCUCGUGUCGUGAGAUGUUGGGUUAAGUCCCGUAACGAGCGCAACCCUUGUCCUUAGUUGCCAGCACGUAAUGGUGGGAACUCUAAGGAGACUGCCGGUGACAAACCGGAGGAAGGUGGGGACGACGUCAAGUCAUCAUGGCCCUUACGACCUGGGCUACACACGUGCUACAAUGGCCAGUACAGAGGGUUGCAAACCUGCGAAGGGGAGCUAAUCUCACAAAGCUGGUCGUAGUCCGGAUCGCAGUCUGCAACUCGACUGCGUGAAGUUGGAAUCGCUAGUAAUCGUGAAUCAGAAUGUCACGGUGAAUACGUUCCCGGGCCUUGUACACACCGCCCGUCACACCAUGGGAGUGGGUUGCAAAAGAAGUAGCUAGGCUAACUUUCGAGAGGCCGGUUACCACUUUGUGAUUCAUGACUGGGGUGAAGUCGUAACAAGGUAACC
Molecule: ribosomal RNA, 1494 nt
Filed under: uncultured marine bacterium
Lineage: Bacteria
Description: bacterial SSU rRNA
Rfam family: Bacterial small subunit ribosomal RNA
Source: RNAcentral